RNAcentral lists this unclassified non-coding RNA (219 nucleotides) under soil metagenome. RNAcentral describes it as "partial contains 5.8S ribosomal RNA, internal transcribed spacer 2, and large subunit ribosomal RNA". The record is from RNAcentral.
AACCUUAUGGACCUGCGGGCGUAUACCUGCGGAGGGAUCAUUACCGUUUGCUUACGGCCGCCCCUCGGGGUGGCCUGUAACGCUCACCCUUUGCCCUUUACGAAACCGUUUGUUCCCUCCCGCCGGGUCCGCCCGGCGGGGGUCCAUUCAAAAACCUCGUAGUAACAGCAGUACCUGUCUGAACAAAUAUCAAACGUUAAAACUUUCAGCAACGGAUCU